This 253-nucleotide ribosomal RNA is filed under the name uncultured bacterium. Its description in RNAcentral is "partial 16S ribosomal RNA". It matches the Rfam family "Archaeal small subunit ribosomal RNA", at positions 474 to 727 of the family's 1478-position model. The record is from RNAcentral.
UACCAGCACCCCGAGUGGUCGGGACGUUUAUUGGGCCUAAAGCAUCCGUAGCCGGUUCUACAAGUCUUCCGUUAAAUCCACCUGCUUAACAGAUGGGCUGCGGAAGAUACUAUAGAGCUAGGAGGCGGGAGAGGCAAGCGGUACUCGAUGGGUAGGGGUAAAAUCCGUUGAUCCAUUGAAGACCACCAGUGGCGAAGGCGGCUUGCCAGAACGCGCUCGACGGUGAGGGAUGAAAGCUAGGGGAGCGAACGGG